This 520-nucleotide ribosomal RNA is filed under the name Colletotrichum gloeosporioides. Its description in RNAcentral is "eukaryotic LSU rRNA". The stretch from base 178 to 331 matches the Rfam family "5.8S ribosomal RNA". The record is from RNAcentral. Lineage: Eukaryota; Fungi; Ascomycota; Sordariomycetes; Glomerellales; Glomerellaceae.
CAUUACUGAGUUUACGCUCUACAACCCUUUGUGAACAUACCUAUAACUGUUGCUUCGGCGGGUAGGGUCUCCGUGACCCUCCCGGCCUCCCGCCCCCGGGCGGGUCGGCGCCCGCCGGAGGAUAACCAAACUCUGAUUUAACGACGUUUCUUCUGAGUGGUACAAGCAAAUAAUCAAAACUUUUAACAACGGAUCUCUUGGUUCUGGCAUCGAUGAAGAACGCAGCGAAAUGCGAUAAGUAAUGUGAAUUGCAGAAUUCAGUGAAUCAUCGAAUCUUUGAACGCACAUUGCGCCCGCCAGCAUUCUGGCGGGCAUGCCUGUUCGAGCGUCAUUUCAACCCUCAAGCUCUGCUUGGUGUUGGGGCCCUACAGCUGAUGUAGGCCCUCAAAGGUAGUGGCGGACCCUCCCGGAGCCUCCUUUGCGUAGUAACUUUACGUCUCGCACUGGGAUCCGGAGGGACUCUUGCCGUAAAACCCCCAAUUUUCCAAAGGUUGACCUCGGAUCAGGUAGGAAUACCCGC